UGGGUUUGGGAUUAACGGCAGAUGGUUC
RNAcentral lists this small RNA (28 nucleotides) under Bombyx mori (domestic silkworm). RNAcentral describes it as "ovarian small RNA-35060". The record is from RNAcentral. Lineage: Eukaryota; Metazoa; Arthropoda; Insecta; Lepidoptera; Bombycidae.